RNAcentral lists this ribosomal RNA (465 nucleotides) under Triticum aestivum (bread wheat). RNAcentral's name for it is "partial small subunit ribosomal RNA". The record is from RNAcentral. Lineage: Eukaryota; Viridiplantae; Streptophyta; Magnoliopsida; Poales; Poaceae.
AGCAGAAUUAUAACCACUGCACGCAUUGUUGAUGCAGCCAAGUCAUGUUGUCUGAGUACUGAUGACCGCAUGUAUGCAAUGGAACCACUAAGUGAUGUUAACUCUAGAGGCUUGUUCUUCAAAAGGAUAUUUGGCUCUGAUGGUUGUUGUCCUGAUAUGCUCAAGGAAGUUUCAAAUGAAAUCCUAAAAAAGUGUGCAGGCCUACCAUUGGCAAUUGUCACUAUAUCUAGUUUGUUGGCAAACAGAUCAGCUACCAAGGAGGAGUGGGAGAAGGUUAAAAGGUCAUGUGGUUCUGCACUGGAAAAUAACCAAAGUCUAGAGGGAAUGAAUAGCAUACUAUCCCUUAGCUAUAAUGUUCUUCCACCUAAUCUCAAGACCUGUCUGUUGUAUUUAAGUGUAUUUCCUGAGGAUUGUGAGAUUGACAAAGAGAGGUUAGUGAGGAGAUGGAUAGCAGAAGGUUUUAUC